RNAcentral lists this ribosomal RNA (468 nucleotides) under uncultured bacterium. RNAcentral describes it as "partial 16S ribosomal RNA". It matches the Rfam family "Bacterial small subunit ribosomal RNA", at positions 28 to 507 of the family's 1533-position model. The record is from RNAcentral.
GACGUACGCUGGCGGCGCGCCUAACACAUGCAAGUCGAACGGAGCUGAGAGAAGCUUGCUUUUCUUAGCUUAGUGGCGAACGGGUGAGUAACGCGUGAGUAACCUGCCCUGGAGUGGGGGACAACAGUUGGAAACGACUGCUAAUACCGCAUAAGCCCACGAUCCGGCAUCGGAUUGAGGGAAAAGGAUUUAUUCGCUUCAGGAUGGACUCGCGUCCAAUUAGCUAGUUGGUGAGGUAACGGCCCACCAAGGCGACGAUUGGUAGCCGGACUGAGAGGUUGAACGGCCACAUUGGGACUGAGACACGGCCCAGACUCCUACGGGAGGCAGCAGUGGGGGAUAUUGCACAAUGGGGGAAACCCUGAUGCAGCGACGCCGCGUGGAGGAAGAAGGUUUUCGGAUUGUAAACUCCUGUCGUUAGGGACGAUAAUGACGGUACCUAACAAGAAAGCACCGGCUAACUACGUG